This 62-nucleotide transfer RNA is filed under the name Parastrongyloides trichosuri. RNAcentral describes it as "tRNA-Ile". Lineage: Eukaryota; Metazoa; Nematoda; Chromadorea; Rhabditida; Strongyloididae. The record is from RNAcentral.
AUUAGAUUAGUAAAAUUUUAUUAUGUUGUCUUGAUAGGGCAGAGUUCCUUUUGGAUCUAAUA